UGGGGAAUCUUCCGCAAUGGACGAAAGUCUGACGGAGCAACGCCGCGUGAGUGAAGAAGGUUUUCGGAUCGUAAAACUCUGUCUUUUGGGGCGAACGUGAGUAUGGUGAACAAUCAUAGUCAGUGACGGUACCAAAGGAGGAAGCCACGGCUAACUACGUGCCAGCAGCCGCGGUAAUACGUAGGUGGCAAGCGUUGUCCGGAAUUAUUGGGCGUAAAGAGCGCGUAGGCGGGAUAGUCAGUCUGUUGUAAAGUGCGGGGCUCAACCCCGUGAUGGCAAUGGAACAGCUAUUCUUGAGUGCAGGAGAGGAAAGGUGGAAUUCCCAGUGUAGCGGUGAAAUGCGUAGAUAUUGGGAGGAACACCAGUGGCGAAGGCGACUUUCUGGACUGUGUCUGACGCUGAGGCGCGAAAGCCAGGGGAGCGAACGGGAUUAGAUACCCCGGUAGUCCUGGCCGUAACGAUGGGUACUAGGUGUGGGAGGUAUCGACCCCUUCCGUGCCGGAGUUAACGCAAUAAGUACCCCGCCUGGGGAGUACGGUCGC
This 542-nucleotide ribosomal RNA is filed under the name uncultured bacterium. Its description in RNAcentral is "partial 16S ribosomal RNA". It matches the Rfam family "Bacterial small subunit ribosomal RNA", at positions 355 to 889 of the family's 1533-position model. The record is from RNAcentral.